CCUACGGUGGGCAGCAGUGAGGAAUAUUGGUCAAUGGGCGAGAGCCUGAACCAGCCAAGUCGCGUGAGGGAAGACGGUCCUACGGAUUGUAAACCUCUUUUGUCAGGGAGCAAGGAGCGCCAAAAGUGGAUCGGCGAGAGUACCUGAAGAAAAAGCAUCGGCUAACUACGUGCCAGCAUCCGCGGUAAGACGGAGGAUGCGAGCGUUAUCCGGAUUUAUUGGGUUUAAAGGGUGCGCAGGCGGAAGCGGUAAGUCAGCGGUAAAAUUGCGGGGCUCAACCGCGCCGGUCCGUUGAAACUGGUCUUCUAGAGUGGGCGAGAGGUCUGCGGAAUGCGUGGUGUAGCGGUGAAAUGCAUAGAUAUCACGCAGAACUCCGAUUGCGAAGGCAGCAUACCGGCGCCCAACUGACGCUCAUGCACGAAAGCGUGGGUAUCGAACAGGAUUAGAUACCCCUGUAGUC
This 460-nucleotide ribosomal RNA is filed under the name uncultured bacterium. RNAcentral describes it as "partial 16S ribosomal RNA". It matches the Rfam family "Bacterial small subunit ribosomal RNA", at positions 338 to 795 of the family's 1533-position model. The record is from RNAcentral.